This 85-nucleotide microRNA precursor is filed under the name Branchiostoma floridae (Florida lancelet). RNAcentral describes it as "mir-2060 microRNA precursor family". It matches the Rfam family "mir-2060 microRNA precursor family". Lineage: Eukaryota; Metazoa; Chordata; Leptocardii; Amphioxiformes; Branchiostomatidae. The record is from Rfam by way of RNAcentral.
GGAGUAGAUGGUGUUCAGCACCAAGGACAUGAAUGUUUGACUAUUUGUCGAUGGUGUUCAGCACCAAGGACAGGCAUGUUUGACC